UUUAAUGACGGAGUAUUUUAGAACCAUAAAUAACUAAUGAGAUAUUGUUUUUCCCUGUACCAAUAACUAGAUUCUGACCCGUACAUACGUGCGGGAUUUCUUAUUUUAGGAAAUAUAUUGGAAUACAUUUUGAGUGAAAGAUAUUGUAAUAUAUAAACUAGAUUUUAACCCGCGGUAUACCGCGAGACGAUUUAUUUUUUUAAAGUAAUAUAUAUUAAAAUUUGCAAAUUUUAUUUUUAAAAAAUAUUUAUAUUUUAAAGUUUAUAAUUGUUAUUAAAAA
This 280-nucleotide small RNA is filed under the name Arabidopsis thaliana (thale cress). Its description in RNAcentral is "ATSL279280". The record is from RNAcentral. Lineage: Eukaryota; Viridiplantae; Streptophyta; Magnoliopsida; Brassicales; Brassicaceae.